This 1726-nucleotide ribosomal RNA is filed under the name Escherichia coli. RNAcentral describes it as "partial 23S ribosomal RNA". It matches the Rfam family "Bacterial large subunit ribosomal RNA", at positions 1 to 1769 of the family's 2925-position model. Lineage: Bacteria; Pseudomonadati; Pseudomonadota; Gammaproteobacteria; Enterobacterales; Enterobacteriaceae. The record is from RNAcentral.
GGUUAAGCGACUAAGCGUACACGGUGGAUGCCCUGGCAGUCAGAGGCGAUGAAGGACGUGCUAAUCUGCGAUAAGCGUCGGUAAGGUGAUAUGAACCGUUAUAACCGGCGAUUUCCGAAUGGGGAAACCCAGUGUGUUUCGACACACUAUCAUUAACUGAAUCCAUAGGUUAAUGAGGCGAACCGGGGGAACUGAAACAUCUAAGUACCCCGAGGAAAAGAAAUCAACCGAGAUUCCCCCAGUAGCGGCGAGCGAACGGGGAGCAGCCCAGAGCCUGAAUCAGUGUGUGUGUUAGUGGAAGCGUCUGGAAAGGCGCGCGAUACAGGGUGACAGCCCCGUACACAAAAAUGCACAUGCUGUGAGCUCGAUGAGUAGGGCGGGACACGUGGUAUCCUGUCUGAAUAUGGGGGGACCAUCCUCCAAGGCUAAAUACUCCUGACUGACCGAUAGUGAACCAGUACCGUGAGGGAAAGGCGAAAAGAACCCCGGCGAGGGGAGUGAAAAAGAACCUGAAACCGUGUACGUACAAGCAGUGGGAGCACGCUUCGGCGUGUGACUGCGUACCUUUUGUAUAAUGGGUCAGCGACUUAUAUUCUGUAGCAAGGUUAACCGAAUAGGGGAGCCGAAGGGAAACCGAGUCUUAACUGGGCGUUAAGUUGCAGGGUAUAGACCCGAAACCCGGUGAUCUAGCCAUGGGCAGGUUGAAGGUUGGGUAACACUAACUGGAGGACCGAACCGACUAAUGUUGAAAAAUUAGCGGAUGACUUGUGGCUGGGGGUGAAAGGCCAAUCAAACCGGGAGAUAGCUGGUUCUCCCCGAAAGCUAUUUAGGUAGCGCCUCGUGAAUUCAUCUCCGGGGGUAGAGCACUGUUUCGGCAAGGGGGUCAUCCCGACUUACCAACCCGAUGCAAACUGCGAAUACCGGAGAAUGUUAUCACGGGAGACACACGGCGGGUGCUAACGUCCGUCGUGAAGAGGGAAACAACCCAGACCGCCAGCUAAGGUCCCAAAGUCAUGGUUAAGUGGGAAACGAUGUGGGAAGGCCCAGACAGCCAGGAUGUUGGCUUAGAAGCAGCCAUCAUUUAAAGAAAGCGUAAUAGCUCACUGGUCGAGUCGGCCUGCGCGGAAGAUGUAACGGGGCUAAACCAUGCACCGAAGCUGCGGCAGCGACGCUUAUGCGUUGUUGGGUAGGGGAGCGUUCUGUAAGCCUGUGAAGGUGUGCUGUGAGGCAUGCUGGAGGUAUCAGAAGUGCGAAUGCUGACAUAAGUAACGAUAAAGCGGGUGAAAAGCCCGCUCGCCGGAAGACCAAGGGUUCCUGUCCAACGUUAAUCGGGGCAGGGUGAGUCGACCCCUAAGGCGAGGCCGAAAGGCGUAGUCGAUGGGAAACAGGUUAAUAUUCCUGUACUUGGUGUUACUGCGAAGGGGGGACGGAGAAGGCUAUGUUGGCCGGGCGACGGUUGUCCCGGUUUAAGCGUGUAGGCUGGUUUUCCAGGCAAAUCCGGAAAAUCAAGGCUGAGGCGUGAUGACGAGGCACUACGGUGCUGAAGCAACAAAUGCCCUGCUUCCAGGAAAAGCCUCUAAGCAUCAGGUAACAUCAAAUCGUACCCCAAACCGACACAGGUGGUCAGGUAGAGAAUACCAAGGCGCUUGAGAGAACUCGGGUGAAGGAACUAGGCAAAAUGGUGCCGUAACUUCGGGAGAAGGCACGCUGAUAUGUAGGUGAAGUC